ACGUAAUAGAUACCCAGGUAGUCCACGCCCUAAACGAUGUCUACUAGUUGUUGGUGGAGUAAAAUCCAUGAGUAAACGCAGCUAAACGCGUGAAGUAGACCGCCUGGGGAGUACGGUCGCAAGAUUAAAACUCAAAGGAAUUGACGGGGGCCCGCACAAGCGGUGGAUUAUGUGGAUUAAAUUCGAUGCAACGCGAAAAACCUUACCUGGCCUUGACAUGCCACUAACGAAGCAGAGAUGCAUUAGGUGCCCGUAAGGGAAAGUGGACACAGGUGCUGCAUGGCUGUCGUCAGCUCGUGUCAUGAGAUGUUGGGUUAAGUCCCGCAACGAGCGCAACCCUUGCCAUUAAUUGCCAUCAUUUAGUUGGGCACUUUAAUGGGACUGCCGGUGACAAACCGGAGGAAGGUGGGGAUGACGUCAAGUCCUCAUGGCCCUUAUGGCCAGGGCUUCACACGUAAUACAAUGGUCGGUACAGAGAGUUGCCAACCCGCGAGGGGAGCUAAUCUCAGAAAGCCGAUCGUAGUCCGGAUUGUUCUCU
Molecule: ribosomal RNA, 538 nt
Filed under: uncultured bacterium
Lineage: Bacteria
Description: bacterial SSU rRNA
Rfam family: Bacterial small subunit ribosomal RNA
Source: RNAcentral